GUGACAUUUAAUUACUAAGAAACGGUAAAGAAUGCUUUUGUCACUCCACCAUAACUACUGAAGGAAAACAAAUUUUCACAGUCUACCUGCCUGCCCCGGCUACUGACUCUAGCGGGUGGCGUCAAAGCUUUCUUUCCUGGAUGGGACAUUCCUUGGGCAGUAUUGGAGUUGCUGGGGCAACUUCCUUGCUGAAACAUGGAAUGAUUUCAUUAAUUUUUCACUUCACUGAAAAAGAAUUGUUUGGGUUCUAUUUAAUUAGAAAUUGAAAAAAGUAGAACUGAACUUGCUUUCCAAGGCGGGUCUCAACUUUCAUGGAACCGUGAAGGCAGAAGCGUCCAGUGUUGGAGCAGCAGAGAUUCAGGGCCGCAGCUAGACGCCAUGGACAGCGUGUAUGAGCUCGCCUCCACAGAAAGGGUGCAGCAGUUAGAGAACGACCUGGCAGGGAAGCUAAGCGAACUCAAGGAUGAGCUGGGAGAACAGGGGCCCCUUCCACGAACAGCUAACUGGACCUUCAGCUCUGUUCAAAUACCAAAGGAUGUCGCUCACUUCAGACGCGAACGGGAAGUGGCUCUGAAGAGAACCCUCCGGGUGGCGGAGUGCAAGCCCCUUGUUAUUCAGGCAGAUGUCCUGCAGAGGGAGCUAGAGAGCUGCCUAAGAAGAGAGUACACGCCGGAAACUCUUCCUCUGCUUCUGCUGCAGCAUUACACAGAGAGAAUUACACACCUGGUCCAGAGUAAAUAUUUGCACAUGCUGAGGUGGAAACGGCUCUGCCAGACCAGCGGGACCAUGGAAGAGCUCUACCCUCUUUACACGAAACAAGUUGGCUACAUCAUGCAGGAGUUCAAUGAUGCAGUUCAGAGAGCAGAAAGACUGGCGGUUGCUAGGGAGAACUUCCUUAUGGGAAAAAGCAAUCCUCCCAAUCUCGUGACACCAGAAGACCUGACGAUCUACACCAGGUGGUUAGUGUGCCACCUGCACUCGCUCGGGACCAUCCAUCACUACCUGCAGGCCCUCCAGUACUUGCCUAUCUCCAGAGACCUGCGGAGUCCAGCUGGUAACCGAGUCUCUGAACCUCAUGAGGAAGAAGAAAAAGUCUGUGUCAUUGACCUUAACUCUGCAUCUCCUGGUCCUAUAGAUGCCAGCAUUUCAGGGCCAGGGACAACACGUGCUGCGUUUGUCCUGCCUCAGCAUGUGACAGAGAAGGAAGAACUAAACCCUCAGCUGAGGCGCCUGCUCUCGCAUUUCCACAUCCCCCAGGACUCACAAAAGCUGAGUGACUCCGCCAAGGAGAUGGAACUCUUCUCUUUGGUUUCCCAGAGCUUCCAGAGCAUCUUCAUGGAGCAACAAAGGAUGCGAACAUUCCCAGACUACAAGGCCGGGAGGGCUAGCCUGCAGAAUUUGUCAGGACCUGCUACUACCCUGAAAAAGAGAGCCACCUGGAUUCCCUUCAUGAAGGUCAAGCCGAAGUGUGAUCCCUGGCAGAAGAAGAUGUUUACCAGACUCAAAGAACGGAGAAGAAUAGAUGAACUAAUGCAUCUCCAGUCAAAGAUUUUGAAGAUUUCUGACCCCGUGAAAGUCGUGCAAGUGCUCCAGGAACACGCUGCAAGGACAGUGACUAUGCCUCCAUGUCGCUCAUCUUUCACGACUUCUCGGGCUUUGCAUCCGUGCGGCUACGAUCAAGUCUGGCAGGAUAUUUAUAGCAACCCCAAGCUCUACCAGAAUGAAAACGUGAAGGAUGAUGGUCUUUCAGUGGAGCCAAGCAACGAGGACCUCACAAAAAUACGUCUCAGUCAAAGUUCUGACGGGUCUGUCAAGCAGAGGACAGAGACAGGGUACAACUAUGCCGUGGCCCUGCAGCUGCUGGGCUUGGGUGAUGGGACCCAGCCUGAUGAGAACCCCGUCCUGAUGCGAGGGGCCUACUUGUCCUUCCUGUGUCUGCGCCACCUGCACAUCCGGGAGCUACAGCGCAUCUGUCUAGGAGUUCUUAACUACUUCAGAUCCGUUGAGCGAACUUUGACAAUGAACACUUCAGGCCUUACCUUGGUUUCAGGGAAACUGGUCCCCACCGUGGGAGAUAAUUCCUGGGUAAAUAUGGCAAAAGGAGGCCUGGGCACCUUGCAAGGCCUGGGAGCUCACCAUUAUGUCCACAGGACACCUGCUGAGCACAAGGUCCACGGCGUGCAAUUCCUGGAGUUCUCGGAAGUUGAAAAUCAGGACGACGUCUACAGUACACAAGCAGGCUGUGUCCACACGCAGGACCAGCUUGGCCUGUAUGUCAUGUAUGACUACGCCCUGCAGGAUCUGAAGGAACUGGAGUCAGAGCUGCUGCUCAUUGCCAGCUAUUACAUUGAGAAAGAAAAAAGUCACAGAGAGGAAGGCAAGUCUGAGAGCAGUCAGCGCUGGGGCUGGGCCCAUGCCAGUGUGGACAGAUUCGCUGUGCUCUAUGACCUGUGGACCUGGGAGGCCAAUUUUCUAGAGAGCAAACACCAGCUUCUUGACAGUUACCUUGAAGCCUACCAGCACACGUUGGACCCUGAGGAGCGGUUCACUUUAGCACAAGCAAUGACUGAUAUUAUUCACCGGCGCCCCAAGUUCGAUCUCGGCCACUCGUAUUUCACUAAAGCCUACCAAGAUGACUGUACCUGUCUGAAGCUUCACCAGCAGCUAGUGAGGGGCAUCCUCAGCCACCACCUUGAGCAGCAGCGGGAAUAUGUCCGGAGGCUCUGGCGAGGGGAUCAUCCCGAGGCUCACAAGACAUUCGGACUUCCCCUGAACAUAAUUUGCAAGCAGUUUGUUUCCAUCAACAACAGCUGCCCAGCCUCAGAAAACGUCCAUCUGUUGGAGUUCCACCCUUCCCUUGGCCUGGUUGGGCUCAUCCCCAAAACCCUGGAGCACCUGUUGCGUGAGGCUCGCCUGGCCCACAAGCCUGCAUCAUUCAGUGGGCUCGCCCAGUUGGAACAACGUCUCUUGCAGCUUGCCCUGGACCUGUGGCUCACCCCAGCCAAGCCCGAGGCCUGGUACAGCGCACAGCUCCAGAGAGAUCUCUUUUCAGCUAAAGUGAUGGGGGAUCCCUUUCUCGUGGAGGAGGUGGGCCUGCUUGCACUCAGGUCUGCGGUGGACAAAGAGCAGAAACAAGGCCAAGAUUUCCAUGCAUUGCUCCUGGAGACAUUUUCGAACCUUCUGGAACUCCUGACCCUCCGCCACCGGCUGAUAGAAAUGAAUGUGGAGAGUGCACACUUGGCUCGGCUAUAUAAGGAACUGGCACGGGAGAUGGGUUUUGAAGAAUUCCAUUUGUAUCUGAGGCCUGUUCCCUUUGAGCUAGCAUCACACAAGGACAAGGUGGACCCACCUCCUCCUGUCUUUAUGACGUCUCUGCUGGAGGACAGCAGUCGAGUGGACAGGUACUCCCCCACGGCCCACGGCCUGGCCAUCGCUGAGCUGGGCGAUAACCAAAUUGGCAAGUUCAGUUUUUAUACAAAAGAUGCCGUCCUCAAGCUCUUGUUCCACUCAGGGGUGGAAAAUAUGCAAGUGGCGCUCGCCUGCCAGGCGGCUCAGAAGAAUGCUCUGAUGGCGGCCAUUCAACAGGUGUCCUUCUACGACAUCCCUGGAGCAGACAGUCCUGAUGAUACCGAGGAAACAAGUUCAGCUCUGAAGCAUCAUGACAGAAUGAGUCCAACCAGAAGAGAUUCCAGAACUGCAAGUCACAAAGAGUGUUUGCUAUCAGCCCCAACUCCAAAAGCUCCAGACACCCUUACUCAUUCUUCAGGGCUUAAGACUACCAAAAGGGCUCCAGAAGCCUUCGUGUCUAUUCAACUAGAAAAGGUGGGUUUGCGGGACACGAUGCUGAACACCUUCCUGCACAGAAAACAGACGGUGGCUGACAGGAUGGAGAGCCCUGAUGACAUUGAAAAAGUCAAGAGGGAACUAAUAGUUGAAUAUUGCCAAAAGUUGAACUUCCGCAUGUCUCACUAUGCCCUUCGGGGUCAGAUCAUGGCAUACGGCAAUAGUCUGAGAGGUCUUCUAGAGGACCUCCCCACCAUCAGGGACACCUUCUUCAUGGUGGGACAACCAAAUGAAAAGGAGGGCUUGAAGGACUCCAGUGGGGGAUUCAAGGCUGACCCCAGGAGUUUCCAGCGUCGGCCUCGGAGUUUGCUGUCACCCGAUGGAAGAGUCUUCCUCAACUUAUGGUUUAUCCCUCAUCCUUCCGAAGUGCUGUGUAUGUUCAAAACUCUGCCAGAAGAGGCAGCUUUUAGAGCCCUGAAACUGACUCUCCAACUUGUAGCGUCUCUCCACGACAUUGUGGCCUACCUUUUCAGUUUUGCCAAGCUUGGCAAUUUCCCAUCAUGCUUCGACUCUCCUCUAAGCCCUGGCCCUUUGAGGAAUGACUGGGGAGGACAGGAGGGCAUUGGGUCUGAGCUUCAAGAGCUGCAGAAAAUGAUUGACAGUCUCCGGAACCCCCAGGACCCGAGCCAGGUGGCCCAGGCCCUCCUCCUGCGAAGGGAGGUCACUUGGUUGCAGUUCGAUGCUGCCAUGAGGCAUCUCCUCCGGGCAUUUUUGGCAGCAGGAAAUGCUCCCGCCCACCAGUCUGUCGCAGAUGGUGCGUGCCAUGGUUUGCCACCACUGAGCGACUGUCUCAGGAGGAGUAUGUUUUCCUCACAGCUCAGCCUGCCCCAGCCACUGGAUCCACGGAGCCCCCAGGCAUUUACGAUGUUCCCCUGGAGGGCGUUUCUGGAAGACAGUGGGCCAUUUCCAGUUAUGAGCAGCAUCCCAAACACCUUAGAGUAUGAUAUGCAGAUGUGUCUUUGCGGACUUAGUGACCGUGACCGCAAAGUGGCCCAUGGGGAGCUGGUGGGUGUGCAGGCACUACUGGAAGACGUACUUCUGAGCGGCUCUCACGUGAUCGUGGAGGGUUCUUCUGAACGGCAAGCCACACGGGACAAUACACAGCCAGAUUGGUCCAAACAUCUAGGACUCUGCCCAAGUCGUUUGGAAAGCCACGCAAAGGCCUCUGCGUUGCUGGAGGCCCCAUGUGAGGCAGCGAUGCCCCUGGCUCUGCUGAAGUCCUUCCUCGUCCUGUGGAAGCAGCUGGAAACGCUGAAGGAACACUGGGGCCGACUCAAGCUUCAAGGCCAGGAGGUCAACUCUGCCUCCCUCCACAGACAGUUCUCAGAGCUCUACAAAGCUGACAUUUUCUACCCCAGCAUGAAGGCUUUAGCCAGGCGGGUGGGCAAAGAAGACGAAUUUGAAGAACUUAUCAUAAGAAGCCAGUCUAUUCUUCCUCCAAAGGGAGUCUCAGAAAUGGAAAUAAAAGCUCAGCAGCUCCAGAAACUUCUGGAAAGUUUAGAAAUUCAUAUGAUCCAAGAGGUAAUGAGGAAAGUUAGUAGAGAGAUGACCCUUCUUCUAUCAGAAAAAUCCAAGGAGGAGCCUACCCUCCCAACAGAUCUUUGGAAACACCAAGUCAUGAAAGAAAACUUUUCAGUUGUGAGACCCCAGAUAGUUGAAAGAUUUGUACAGAGACUAAUGGAGAGUUACCAAGAGGAUGGACCCAAGGUCACUUUCAGGAGGGACCACCUGGAAGCCUGCCUCCUCUCCCUGGGGUGUGAUGUGAUGGCAAGAGAACGCAGCAACUUUGAGACCUACUCCAUGUGUUACGAGCACGUGCUGCAACAUGCCAGGGAGAAGCUCAGCCAGAGGGAGCAGGAAGUAGACUUUCUUCGAAGAAGUCAGGUUCCUCCUGAAGACUGUGCUGGUCAGGUUGCAGAGCUCAGUCAUGACCUGAUCAUGGAAAUCACCGCUCUGAGAGCCCAGCUGACAGCUCUGGAAGAGGAGAGUUUGAACCUAAAACACCAGAUUAGAAAGGAAGUUCAGGAGGAAUACAGAUCAUUAGUGCAAGCUUUGUUUAUGACCUGCUUACACAUAAAGGAGAAGCUGGAUGAGAAUCAGUUUAAUUUGAUCCAGAAAGUGUGUGAGCUCAUCGGUGAAGUGAGAGCCGAAGGGAUUGCCAACAUGAAGCAGCUGAAGAAAGCCUGGGGCUCUGCCAGACCUGAGGAAGGAACAAAAGAGAGCACAGCCGAAGUUCGUGGUCGCACGCUGCUGCAUUUCUUCCUAGCGCCCAGCCCAUCAUUGACCCGCUUAGUCUCCCCAAAACACUGUAGCAUUGUCUUAGAGGGACCCUGGGGUGGGGCUCCACACGGUCACGAAUCCUUUCAGAAGGCACAUCUGGAGUUAGUAUCAAUUUUCUGGUUUAGGAACCAUGUGCCCUUCUGGGAAAAAGGACAAAGAGUGGCCUUUUCUAAACGUAAGCCUUCUUGGCAGGAGCAGCUGUGCCCCUUGGAGCAGGACAGCAGCAGCGCCCUGGCUACUCUGCUGUGCAAAAUGCGGAGCCUGGGCCGCUGGCGCCUGGCUGUGCUGGAGGCUCGCCUUACAGGUCAGCUGAGCAGGGCAGAGAAGGAAUCUAUUCACAGCCAAAGAGAAUGCUUGAGAAUCAAGUUCAUGGCAGAGCAAGAAGUGGGUUUACUUCAUCAGCAACUACUGGCUGCGAGGCAGGCCCUGGCCAAAGCUCACACUGACAACAGGACGCUCAGGCGGCAGCAGGAUACCCAGGCUCAACUGUUGAGGGAGCUGGAACACAGAGUAACUCAAGACUCCGUCACUCGGCAGCAGCUGGAGGUCAUAAAAACAUCUGGCAUGGAGAAACUCCUAGAAGACGUGGAGCGAAAGGAGCAGCAACUGCAGCUCUUAUCAGCAGAGGCUGAGCGGGCUUCGAAACUGGGCCAGCUGCAGUGGAAGAGGAUGGACAGGGACCUGCAGCAGAUGAGAAGCCAGCUAGCUCAGGAGCGCAGUGUGAAGCUGGACGCUUUCCACCGUGUGCGGGAGCUGCAGAGUCAACUUCAUGACAUGGAGCAGUCAUCUCCCCAGAUGGGCUCCCCGAGUGGGCUUAUAUCCCAGACCCACUGCCCCCUAAACUCUGCUUCAUCAUUAUCCAGACACUCUCUCCGUUUUCCAAAGACCAAUCUUCUUGGCAAUAAAAUGACAAGAAGGAUUCAAAGACCACAGACUGUACCAAUUAAGCACAAAAAAAGGAUUGAUGAUGGUUUUCUACCCAAUGUGGCAGAAAAUGUUCAACUUACAACUUCCCAAGUUCAAACAGCUCCAUCCGGGAUUUCCUUCAGGCCCAAUAGCAUUUCUUCUCAGCAUGUGGCAGACAGUAUUGAAGAACUGAAAUGAAUUCAUUGAGUGUCCAGAUGAAGCCACAUUUGGUCCCAGAUUUGAAAACACUCAAACACUGGCCAUGGUCACUCCAAAUGGCUCCAGAAUAAACAAAACAAGAUCCAAACAGAAAUCAGAGGAUCUGCAGAGUUGAAGAGGCAGAGAUGAAAAUUAGGACAUGAAGGAAAGUGUCUGAAGUUCCCAUGGCAGUAGAGCGGAGAGAGCUGAAGUGAAACCUAACAUGCUUCACAAGAACAAUUAUAAAAACAUCUUGUACCUCCCAACUUACAUCUGGCAUCCAAUAAAAAUUUACCAAGAAUGCAUCAAAACCAGAAACCACAACCCAUAGAUGGGUAGAAAAAAAUCAACAGAAAGUGAUCCAUUAGCAGUGCUAUGCAGACAUUAAAAAAUUACUCUAAUUAGAAAAAACCUCACAACUACAAAAACAACCCACUAUGUAGAGAAACCACACAUACAUUAAUACCAGGAAAUGGUACUGAACUUAAUUAAAGGGGCAACUUUAAUUAGUAUGAAACACAAAGGGCUGUUGAUCAAUUCUAGCAACCUGUAUAAAACUAGAAUCUCCAUCAAGGCAGAGGGUGUGGACCCCCACAAAGGUUGGAAAUCUUCCAAAUAUGAAAACCACAGAGCCAAACAGCUCAAUAGAUUUCCAAAUACAAGAAAUGAGGAAAACUGUAACACAGCCCACAACAAUCAAUUUGCUCAAAACCAGUAGAAGAAAACAUGUACAGAACCAACGAUGCUAACAGACUUAUCAGUGUCCGAUGUCCUUUUCAUGUGAAAAGACAAUGGACCAAAAAUUAACAAGUAUGUAUGACAAAAAAAAAAAAAACCACCAAAAACCAAAAAACCAGCAACUUUGGAUUCCAUAUUCAAAUUUCUUAAAAAAGCCAAGUAAUUGAUUUAUUACAAAUCAUCUACAAUAAAGGCAAUGGUUUUUGCAUUUGUAUUUUGAAAACAAAAUACAAACUAGCAGGCAAGAUAUACAAAAGCUGGAUUUAUCAACAGCUACAUUAACAAAAAACACAAACAUUAUUGAACUUAAAAGUGCUAAUACAUAACAUAGCUUGGGUGGUGGUGGCACACACCUUUAAUCCCAGCACUCGGGAGGCAGCAGGUGGAUUUGAGUCUGAGACCAGCCUGGUCUACAAGAGCUAUUUCCAAGACAGCCUCUAAAGCCAUAGAGAAACCCUGUCUCGAAAAAACCAAAGCUAAUAUACAUGCCCAAGUAAUGGGAAAAACACACAAAACCAAUUUCAUCUUCAUUAUUUAAUCUCAAUGUUUUAGGAAGUUAAGCCUUCUAUAACGUUUUAUGUAAUUACCAAAUGAUAAGGCUAACAUGGAAACAAAGGCCUCAUUUCUAAGGCAAAACACUAAAUCUAUUUUAUAUCCAGACUUGCAAGGAGUAGUCAAGAACUUAAUGUAAUGCCAAAUGAUACUAUAGAUGCUUCUACAUGUGUUCCAACAGAAUCAGCGUUCCUAGGGAAGUAUGCAGCUUGACACUCUAAGCAGAAGCCAAGUUUCAUUUCACAUGCACUCCGAAAGGCAUGAUGUGGCUAGCAAGAUGGCUCAGUCCCUGGAACCCACAAAGGUGAAAGAACUAACCCCACAAAAGUUGUCCUCUGCCCCCCCUUCUCAUUCACUCUCGGUUAAGGUGAGCCUGGGGUGUGUCCCUUCCAUCCUCUGUCCAGCUAUCAUUUGUAAGGUCUGUUCUCUACUAAUUUAUAACCCUUAGUUACCAUCUACCAGCCUACAGAACAACAGAGACAGUAACAACCCAGAUUCAAAAGGACAGGGCAAAUACAACAGUGUUGAAUUUUAUAUAAAAUGUAACAAUUUUGAUCAAUAAAGAGACUAACUCAA
Molecule: RNA transcript, 9093 nt
Organism: Mesocricetus auratus (golden hamster)
Lineage: Eukaryota; Metazoa; Chordata; Mammalia; Rodentia; Cricetidae
Exons: 48
Source: RefSeq, a predicted model, not a curated record